Molecule: transfer RNA, 72 nt
Filed under: Pinus taeda (loblolly pine)
Lineage: Eukaryota; Viridiplantae; Streptophyta; Pinopsida; Pinales; Pinaceae
Description: tRNA-Ser
Source: RNAcentral
GGGGUGAUAUAUUCUAUUUAGACUAUAUGACGACUCUAGGAGAGAGUUAGCUCAGAUUGGCUUUUCACCCCU